ACUACAGAAAAUAGAAUGUCCAAAAAUUGUUAGUGCAUAAUAAUUGUGUAUAGGUGCUUUUAUGGUUACAUGUGAAUAUAAAUCCGUGAUCGUUGUUUCCCUUUUACUCUGCGAAAACGGUAUAUGUGUAAAGAAAGAAUAUUUUUCGAUAACAUCUUGCGACGGGGCAGCCCAAAAUCAGUCAUACUUCAGAUGCCUACGGAUCAACAUGUUCUUGGGAAUGCAGGCGGUAGCAUUCCUUCUGCUUCUUCUGGCACAUUCUGACGGAUUGAUAAGAAUGAUUUGAUAAGAAUCAAAGAGGUAUGAUCAGAUGGUUACUGGUUAUGUUAUUUGAAUACCCUUUACUGGCACAGUACAAGUUUACUAUGUAUUGUAUAUCCAGAGUCAAAUUCGUACAAUAUUAAAUACCAGAUACUGUAAUACCAAUCGAAAUCGCUAUACAAAGCGCAGAAAGAUCGUUGCCUGCUGCCCCAAAGCAACAAAGUUGGCAUUCGAAUCCGAGGGCCUGAAAGGAGAAUGGGAAUGUGGAACAGGUUUCUGAUGUUCCCAAAAGUCAAGUCAUUUUAUAUAAAAGUAUGUAAGCAAAGUACUUUAAAAUCUACCAGGUAAUCAACAACCCAAUGAGGAUAUGUGCUACCAAUUGCCUAUAAAGCUGAUAACGGAUUUUGGGAUUUUAGGGCGGCACAGCAAAUAAGCUUUGCCAUCAUAAUACCAUCAAAACAAACCAUUAAUGUCAAAUAAUACAAUAUAUCUUCGGUAAAACAAAUACGAUAGUAAAUGAAUUGUAAACUUUGUAUAUAAA
Long non-coding RNA from Drosophila biarmipes, 802 nucleotides. RefSeq lists it as uncharacterized. The record is from RefSeq and is a predicted model, not a curated record. The transcript is spliced from 3 exons. NCBI's taxonomy places the organism in Eukaryota, Metazoa, Arthropoda, Insecta, Diptera, Drosophilidae.